RNAcentral lists this unclassified non-coding RNA (63 nucleotides) under Aristaeella lactis. Its description in RNAcentral is "Gut-1 RNA". The record is from RNAcentral. Lineage: Bacteria; Bacillati; Bacillota; Clostridia; Eubacteriales; Aristaeellaceae.
AUGUGAAAUGUGGCCUGCCGGCCACGUGAAAGUAAGUGUUGCUGUCGCAACGGGAUAUUUGCU